RNAcentral lists this ribosomal RNA (487 nucleotides) under Pimelia interstitialis. RNAcentral describes it as "partial large subunit ribosomal RNA". It matches the Rfam family "Bacterial large subunit ribosomal RNA", at positions 1851 to 2597 of the family's 2925-position model. Lineage: Eukaryota; Metazoa; Arthropoda; Insecta; Coleoptera; Tenebrionidae. The record is from RNAcentral.
AGUCUGGCCUGCCCAAUGAUUUUUGAAUGGCCGCAGUAUUUUGACUGUGCAAAGGUAGCAUAAUCAUUAGUUUUUUAAUUGAAAGCUGGAAUGAAAGGUUUGAUGAGAAAAUAACUGUCUCUACAUAAAUGAUUUAGAACUUCAAUUUUAAGUGAAAAAGCUUAAAUUUUUUAUAAAGACGAGAAGACCCUAUAGAGUUUUAUAUUUAAUUAGAUUUAUUGAUUGUUGAAUUUAUUUUUAUAAUUUUAUUUAAAUAUUUCGUUGGGGCGAUGGAAAAAUUGAAUAAACUUUUUUUUGUUUGGUACAUUAAUUUAUGAAUAUUUGAUCCUUGUAUUUGGAUUAUAAGACUAAAUUACCUUAGGGAUAACAGCGUAAUUUUUUUUGGAGAGUUCUUAUCGAUAAAAAAGUUUGCGACCUCGAUGUUGGAUUAAAAUUAAAUUUUGGUGUAGAAGCUAGAAUUUUAGGUCUGUUCGACCUUUAAAAUUUU